AUACGGAGGAUCCGAGCGUUAUCCGGAUUUAUUGGGUUUAAAGGGUGCGCAGGCGGGAGAUUAAGUCGGCGGUGUAAUUUUGCAGCUCAACUGUAAAAGUGCCUUCGAAACUGGUUUCCUUGAGUGUAGAUGAAGUAGGCGGAAUUUGUGGUGUAGCGGUGAAAUGCAUAGAUAUCACGAGGAACUCCGAUUGCGCAGGCAGCUUACUAAACUACUACUGACGCUCAGGCACGAAGGCGUGGGGAUCAAACAGGAUUAGAUACCCUGGUAGUCCACGCAGUAAACGAUGAUUACUAGCUGUUUGCGAUACAAUGUAAGCGGCUGAGCGAAAGCGUUAAGUAAUCCACCUGGGGAGUACGUUCGCAAGAAUGAAACUCAAAGGAAUUGACGGGG
Molecule: ribosomal RNA, 393 nt
Filed under: uncultured bacterium
Lineage: Bacteria
Description: partial 16S ribosomal RNA
Rfam family: Bacterial small subunit ribosomal RNA
Source: RNAcentral